Molecule: ribosomal RNA, 520 nt
Filed under: Chriodorus atherinoides
Lineage: Eukaryota; Metazoa; Chordata; Actinopteri; Beloniformes; Hemiramphidae
Description: partial 16S large subunit ribosomal RNA
Rfam family: Bacterial large subunit ribosomal RNA
Source: RNAcentral
GGCCGCGGUAUUUUAACCGUGCUAAGGUAGCGUAAUCACUUGUCUUUUAAAUGAGGACCUGUAUGAAUGGCAUCACGAGGGCUCAACUGUCUCCUUCCCCCAGUCAAUGAAAUUGAUCUCCCCGUGCAGAAGCGGGGAUGAGUACAUAAGACGAGAAGACCCUUUGGAGCUUCAGACACCCGAGCAGACCAAGUCCCUGCCCCUAAAUAAAAAGGAGAAACCUAUUGGCCAACUGCUCGCGUCUUUGGUUGGGGUGACCACGGGGAAAAAAGCAACCCCCAUGUGGAAUGGAAGAACCUUACUAAUCUCUCUUCUAUAACCAAGACCCACCGGUCUAAGUUUCAGAGACUUCUGACCAAUCUGUAAAGAUCCGGCAUAUGCCGAUUAACGAACCGAGUUACCCUAGGGAUAACAGCGCAAUCCCCUUAUAGAGCCCCUAUCGACAAGGGGGUUUACGACCUCGAUGUUGGAUCAGGGCAUCCUAAUGGUGAAACUGCUAUUGAAGGUUCGUUUGUUCAAC